AUGCUCUGGUUUCUCUUCAGAUCGUAAAAAUCUUUCACCUUUUACUAAAGAUUUCCGUGGAGGGGAGCAGGUCACAGGGUCACGAGUUUUAAACCAAUUAUGGACUAUCAUAUACAUCACUU
Callorhinchus milii (elephant shark) is the source of this 122-nucleotide small nuclear RNA. Its record names the gene U5. It matches the Rfam family "U5 spliceosomal RNA". Rfam says of the family: U5 RNA is a component of both types of known spliceosome. The precise function of this molecule is unknown, though it is known that the 5' loop is required for splice site selection and p220 binding, and that both the 3' stem-loop and the Sm site are important for Sm protein binding and cap methylation. The record is from Ensembl. Lineage: Eukaryota; Metazoa; Chordata; Chondrichthyes; Chimaeriformes; Callorhinchidae.